RNAcentral lists this ribosomal RNA (346 nucleotides) under uncultured fungus. RNAcentral's name for it is "SSU rRNA". It matches the Rfam family "Eukaryotic small subunit ribosomal RNA", at positions 20 to 370 of the family's 1831-position model. The record is from RNAcentral. Lineage: Eukaryota; Fungi.
GUAGUCAUAUGCUUGUCUCAAAGAUUAAGCCAUGCAUGUCUAAGUAUAAGCAAUUAUACCGCGAAACUGCGAAUGGCUCAUUAAAUCAGUUAUCGUUUAUUUGAUAGUACCUUACUACAUGGAUAACCGUGGUAAUUCUAGAGCUAAUACAUGCUGAAAAUCCCGACUUCGGAAGGGAUGUAUUUAUUAGAUUAAAAACCAAUGCCCUCACGGGCUCUCUGGUGAUUCAUAAUAACUUCUCGAAUCGCACGGCCUUGCGCCGGCGAUGGUUCAUUCAAAUUUCUGCCCUAUCAACUUUCGACGGCUGGGUCUUGGCCAGCCGUGGUGACAACGGGUAACGGGGAAU